UUUUACAGGGUCAGUCAUAGUAGUAUGAUAGGUGUUGUUUUACAGGGUCAGUCAUAGUAGUAUGAUAGGUGUUGUUUUACAGGGUCAGUCAUAGUAGUAUGAUAGGUGUUGUUUUACAGGGUCAGCCAUAGUAGUAUGAUAGGUGUUGUUUUACAGGGUCAGCCAUAGUAGUAUGAUAGGUGUUGUUUUACAGGGUCAGCCAUAGUAGUAUGAUAGGUGUUGUUUUACAGGGUCAGCCAUAGUAGUAUGAUAGGUGUUGUUUUACAGGGUCAGCCAUAGUAGUAUGAUAGGUGUUGUUUUACAGGGUCAGCCAUAGUAGUAUGAUAGGUGUUGUUUUACAGGGUCAGCCAUAGUAGUAUGAUAGGUGUUGUUUUACAGGGUCAGUCAUAGUAGUAUGAUAGGUGUUGUUUUACAGGGUCAGUCAUAGUAGUAUGAUAGGUGUUGUUUUACAGGGUCAGCCAUAGUAGUAUGAUAGGUGUUGUUUUACAGGGUCAGUCAUAGUAGU
Long non-coding RNA from Oncorhynchus keta (chum salmon), 505 nucleotides. RefSeq lists it as uncharacterized. The transcript has 3 exons. Lineage: Eukaryota; Metazoa; Chordata; Actinopteri; Salmoniformes; Salmonidae. The record is from RefSeq and is a predicted model, not a curated record.